AUUGAACGCUGGCGGCAGGCUUAUCACAUGCAAGUCGAGCGAGCGGCGGACGGGUGAGUAAUGUCUGGGAAACUGCCUGAUGGAGGGGUAUAACUACUGGAAACGGUAGCUAAUACCGCAUACCAUCAGCUUUUCCCAGAUGGGAUUAGCUAGUAGGUGGGGUAAUGGCUCACCUAGGCCACGAUCCCUAUCUGGUCUGAGAGGAUGACAAGCAAAACUGUAACUGAGACACGGUCCAGACUCCGACGGGAGGCAGCAGUGGGGAAUAUGGCACAAUGGGCGAAAGCCUGAUGCAGCCAUGCCGCGUGAGUGAAGAAGGCCUUCGGGUUGUAAAGCACUGUCAGCGAGGAGGCGUUACUCGCAGAAGAAGCACCGGCGAACUCCGUGCCAGCCGCCGCGGUAAUAC
RNAcentral lists this ribosomal RNA (406 nucleotides) under uncultured bacterium. RNAcentral describes it as "partial 16S ribosomal RNA". It matches the Rfam family "Bacterial small subunit ribosomal RNA", at positions 30 to 526 of the family's 1533-position model. The record is from RNAcentral.